GAUGAAGAACGCAGCAAAAUGCGAUAAGUAAUGUGAAUUGCAGAAUUCAGUGAAUCAUCGAAUCUUUGAACGCACAUUGCGCCCGCCAGUAUUCUGGCGGGCAUGCCUGUUCGAGCGUCAUUUCAACCCUCAAGCACAGCUUGGUGUUGGGACUCGCGUUAAUUCGCGUUCCCCAAAUUGAUUGGCGGUCACGUCAAGCUUCCAUAGCGUAGUAGUAAAACCCUCGUUACUGGUAAUCGUCGCGGCCACGCCGUUAAACCCCAACUUCUGAAUGUUGACCUCGGAUCAGGUAGGAAUACCCGCUGAACUUAAGCAUAUCAAUAAGCGGAGGA
RNAcentral lists this unclassified non-coding RNA (332 nucleotides) under soil metagenome. Its description in RNAcentral is "partial contains 5.8S ribosomal RNA, internal transcribed spacer 2, and large subunit ribosomal RNA". The stretch from base 1 to 120 matches the Rfam family "5.8S ribosomal RNA", at positions 35 to 154 of the family's 154-position model. The record is from RNAcentral.